This 73-nucleotide transfer RNA is filed under the name Felis catus (domestic cat). It matches the Rfam family "tRNA". Rfam says of the family: Transfer RNA (tRNA) molecules are approximately 80 nucleotides in length. RNAcentral also lists the same sequence under 1 other name. The record is from Rfam by way of RNAcentral. Lineage: Eukaryota; Metazoa; Chordata; Mammalia; Carnivora; Felidae.
ACCUGACUGGCUCAGUCGGUAAAGCAUGCAAGUUUUGAUCUUGGUGUUGUGAGUUCAAGCCCUAUGUGGGGUA